Molecule: transfer RNA, 67 nt
Filed under: Neotoma mexicana (Mexican woodrat)
Lineage: Eukaryota; Metazoa; Chordata; Mammalia; Rodentia; Cricetidae
Description: tRNA-Arg
Rfam family: tRNA
About the family: Transfer RNA (tRNA) molecules are approximately 80 nucleotides in length.
Source: RNAcentral
UGAUAAUUAGUUUAAUUAAAAUAAAUGAUUUCGACUCAUUAGACUAUGGUACGACCAUAAUUAUCAA